UACGUAGGGCGCAAGCGUUAUCCGGAAUUAUUGGGCGUAAAGAGCUCGUAGGCGGUUUGUCGCGUCUGCUGUGAAAACUGGAGGCUCAACCUCCAGCCUGCAGUGGGUACGGGCAGACUAGAGUGCGGUAGGGGAGAUUGGAAUUCCUGGUGUAGCGGUGGAAUGCGCAGAUAUCAGGAGGAACACCGAUGGCGAAGGCAGAUCUCUGGGCCGUAACUGACGCUGAGGAGCGAAAGGGUGGGGAGCAAACCGG
RNAcentral lists this ribosomal RNA (253 nucleotides) under uncultured bacterium. Its description in RNAcentral is "partial 16S ribosomal RNA". It matches the Rfam family "Bacterial small subunit ribosomal RNA", at positions 524 to 776 of the family's 1533-position model. The record is from RNAcentral.